AGAUUGAACGCUGGCGGCAGGCCUAACACAUGCAAGUCGAGCGGUAGAGAGGUGCUUGCACCUCUUGAGAGCGGCGGACGGGUGAGUAAUGCCUAGGAAUCUGCCUAGUGGUGGGGGAUAACGUUCGGAAACGGACGCUAAUACCGCAUACGUCCUACGGGAGAAAGCGGGGGACCUUCGGGCCUCGCGCCAUUAGAUGAGCCUAGGUCGGAUUAGCUAGUUGGUGAGGUAAUGGCUCACCAAGGCGACGAUCCGUAACUGGUCUGAGAGGAUGAUCAGUCACACUGGAACUGAGACACGGUCCAGACCUCCGUACGGGAGCAGCGA
Molecule: ribosomal RNA, 327 nt
Filed under: uncultured soil bacterium
Lineage: Bacteria
Description: bacterial SSU rRNA
Rfam family: Bacterial small subunit ribosomal RNA
Source: RNAcentral